This 253-nucleotide ribosomal RNA is filed under the name uncultured bacterium. RNAcentral describes it as "partial 16S ribosomal RNA". It matches the Rfam family "Bacterial small subunit ribosomal RNA", at positions 524 to 776 of the family's 1533-position model. The record is from RNAcentral.
UACGUAGGGUGCAAGCGUUGUCCGGAAUUAUUGGGCGUAAAGAGCUUGUAGGCGGUUUGUCGCGUCUGCUGUGAAAUUUCGGGGCUCAACCCCGAACUUGCAGUGGGUACGGGCAGACUAGAGUGUGGUAGGGGAGACUGGAAUUCCUGGUGUAGCGGUGAAAUGCGCAGAUAUCAGGAGGAACACCGAUGGCGAAGGCGGGUCUCUGGGCCAUAACUGACGCUGAGAAGCGAAAGCAUGGGGAGCGAACAGG